RNAcentral lists this ribosomal RNA (449 nucleotides) under uncultured bacterium. RNAcentral's name for it is "bacterial SSU rRNA". It matches the Rfam family "Bacterial small subunit ribosomal RNA", at positions 355 to 796 of the family's 1533-position model. The record is from RNAcentral.
UCGCGAAUUUUUCUCAAUGGGCGCAAGCCUGAAGAAGCCAUGCCGCGUGCGGGAUGAAGGCCCUCUGGGUUGUAAACCGCUGUCAGGGGAGGGGAAACGUCGAUCAUUAACAGUGGUCGAUUUGACUGCUCUCUAAAGGAAGCCCCGGCAAAACAUGUGCCAGCAGCCGCGGUAAUACAUGUGGGGCAAGCGUUGUUCGGAAUCACUGGGCAUAAAGGGUGCGUAGGCGGUGUUACACGUCCGGGGUGAAAUCCCAUGGCCUAACCAAGGGUCUGCCUCGGAUACGGUGGCACUUGAGUGCGUGAGGGGUGAUCGGAACGCGUGGUGUAGCGGUGAAAUGCGUAGAUAUCACGCGGAAGGCCAACGGCGAAGGCAGAUCACUGGUGCGCAACUGACGCUGAGUGCACGAAAGCGUGGGGAGCAAACAGGAUUAGAUACCCCCGUAGUCC